This 234-nucleotide long non-coding RNA is filed under the name Vigna radiata. RNAcentral describes it as "long non-coding RNA (VRAD_LNC012322)". The record is from RNAcentral. Lineage: Eukaryota; Viridiplantae; Streptophyta; Magnoliopsida; Fabales; Fabaceae.
CGUAGCAUCAGUGGACUGUACAACAGAGUACCACGAGCGGGUUAUAGCUUCAUUGGGCCGUAGCUUAGGAUUGAAUUUUUUGUAAUAUUUUUUUUUGGUUGUUUUUAUUUUUCUGUAUUUGAUGGGCUUGUAGCCCACUGUCAUUGUUAGUCUUAGCUUUAGGUUUGGUUUGUAAAUGGCCAUUAUAUAAAGUCCAAGUUUGGAAGAGUCCUUGGUGCUCUUUCAAAUCUUGGC